CUACGGGAGGCACCAGGCGCGAAAAUUUUACAAUGUACGUAAGUGCGAUAAAGGAACUCCCAGUGCUCAUGUUUUGCAUGGGCUUUUGCCACGAGUAAAUAUCUUGGCGAAUAAGUGGUGGGUAAGACGGGUGCCAGCCGCCGCGGUAACACCUGCGCCACGAGUGGGAAUCACAUUUAUUGGGCCUAAAGCGUUCGUAGCCGGUUUGGUAAGUUCUAAGUGAAAUCGUUGCGCUUAACAAAACGACGUGCUUAGAAUACUGUCAAGCUUGGGACCGGGAGGAGCUAGGAGUAUUCCUGAGGGAGCGGUAAAAUGCUAUAAUCUCAGGAGGACUACCUGUGGCGAAGGCGCCUAGCUAGAACGGGUCCGACGGUGAGGAACGAAAGCCAGGGAAGCAAAGCGGAUUAGAUACCCGGGUAGUC
This 422-nucleotide ribosomal RNA is filed under the name uncultured archaeon. Its description in RNAcentral is "partial 16S ribosomal RNA". It matches the Rfam family "Archaeal small subunit ribosomal RNA", at positions 323 to 746 of the family's 1478-position model. The record is from RNAcentral.